Telopea speciosissima is the source of this 374-nucleotide long non-coding RNA. RefSeq lists it as uncharacterized. The record is from RefSeq and is a predicted model, not a curated record. The transcript has 3 exons. NCBI's taxonomy places the organism in Eukaryota, Viridiplantae, Streptophyta, Magnoliopsida, Proteales, Proteaceae.
GGUGUUCGGCCUCGAGUUUAUAAUCUUUAUGGAUGGAUUCUUGGUUUUAUUGGAGAUUACAAAUAUGAUGUUAAUAUUGCCAUCACCCCAGGAUUCAAAUUAAAUCUGUGUAAUCGUACAUAUGAACCACCAAGGCAAGGUCCUUCCUUGUGGGAGAUAGGAAUUCCUGAUCGUUCUGCAGAGGAAUUUUUUGUGCAUGAUCGUGACCCAAAAUACAAAUAAACUUUUUCUCAGUAAUCCAAACAGCAAUGAUAGAGAUUCAGUACAUGUUCCUGUGGAUAUAUAAAUUUAGACAUUAUGGGCUGUGGGAGAGAGGUAUGCAGAAUUGCAUACUUGUGAAGACCUUGUGUAUACUGUUGGUACUAGUGACUACA